GUCUAUGGCCAUACCACCCUGAACGCGCCUGAUCUCGUCUGAUCUCGGAAGCUAAGCAGGGCUGGGCCUGGUUAGUACUUAGAUGGGAGAAACAAUAUGACUCUCUGCUUUGUGGCUU
This 118-nucleotide ribosomal RNA is filed under the name Propithecus coquereli (Coquerel's sifaka). Lineage: Eukaryota; Metazoa; Chordata; Mammalia; Primates; Indriidae. The record is from RNAcentral.